RNAcentral lists this ribosomal RNA (378 nucleotides) under uncultured organism. RNAcentral describes it as "bacterial SSU rRNA". It matches the Rfam family "Bacterial small subunit ribosomal RNA", at positions 367 to 762 of the family's 1533-position model. The record is from RNAcentral.
CGCAAUGGGCGAAAGCCUGACGCAGCAACACCGCGUGGAGGAUGAAGGUUUUAGGAUUGUAAACUCCCGUCGGCAGGGAAUAUUAUGACUGUACCUGCAAAGGAAGCACCGGCUAAAUACGUGCCAGCAGCCGCGGUAAGACGUAGGGUGCAAGCGUUGUCCGGAAUUAUUGGGCGUAAAGAGUUUGUAGGCGGUUUUUUAAGUCUGGUGUUAAAGCCCGAAGCUCAACUUCGGCAUGGCAUUGGAAACUGGGUAACUAGAGUGUGGUAGAGGUCACGGGAAUUCCUGGUGUAGCGGUGAAAUGCGUAGAUAUCAGGAGGAACACCGGUGGCGAAAGCGCGUGGCUGGACCAUAACUGACUCUGGGGAACGAAAGCCA